UUUAUUAUUAUUAAAAAUAAUAAAACAUGUAAGUACAUUUCUAGGUAUUCAGACGCUUUUCUAUGAGACUCRAAAUUGAGCUCAGGUGCACCCUGUUUCCAAUGAUCAUCCUUGAGAUGUUUCUACAACUUGGUUGGAGUUCAACCAAUUCAAUUGAUUGGACAUGAUUUGUCGUGUGGAAACCAUUUGAUCAAUUUUAUAAUAUGGCUGUAAUGUAAAAAUAAAUAAAUAUAUGGACAAGGUCAAGGGGUCUGAAUACUUUCCGAAUGCUGUGUGUAUAAUAUAUAGUAAAAAAUAUAUAUAAUUUGCGGUAGUCAAAUAUUGUCAUUCUGAGAUUGUCGCUUCUUCCAGCUCCCUCUGUUUCGGCGUGGACCAGUCCCAUGGAUCAUCUUAACGUCUUUCAGUCAUCCCUUCCUACCCUGGUCUGGGGCUGGUUGGGUACAAUUACACUGUUUUGAGGGUGGUGGAUGGGAGUAAAUGCACCUAUUUUAAGUAACAGUUAAGAAAUCUGCCUCUCAAAAAUGUACAUUUUGUAUUUUCAGACCAUUGCCCUCUUGAACAUUUACCGUAACCCUCAAAACACUGCCCAGUCUGCCGAUGGUUUGCGCUGUGCUGUCAGUGAUGCGGAGAUGCAGGAGCACUAGGAGAUCUUCACAGAGAUGGAGAAGUAUGGUGGAGGAGAUGAAUGUGCGACAACUUGGGAGACCAUCUGGUUGGAAACGUAUACGUGAAGAACGUCAUUUCGCGCACACACACACCAACUCUGUGAUGGUUUCUGUGUGUAGUUCCGUCGUGAGGAAAACGCGGAGAAGGCAGUGAUGGAUCUGAAUAACCGCUGGUUCAACGGUCAACCAAUCCACGCCGAGCUCUCUCCCGUUACAGACUUCAGAGAAGCCUGCUGCCGCCAGUACGAGAUGGGGGAGUGCACUCGAGGACGCUUCUGUAACUGCAUGUACGGUACCUGAAACCCAUCUCCAGGGAGCUGAGGGAGCUGUACGGACGCCGCAGGAAGAAGGGAGGGGGGCAUCGUUCUCGCUCCCGUUCCAGGGAACGCCGUUCUCGCUCGAGGGAUAGAGGCAGGGGAGGCGGACGCGACCGUGAGGAGACGUUCCAGAGAACGCUCUGGAAGGUUCUAAACCAAGCCACCACUUCACGUCCAUCUCACCUUCCAUCUCCAUUAUCACUCUCCAUCCAUCCUCAAAUCCCUAUAUCUUUCCCUCCAUUGCGGCCUUUCAAUUCCCCGUUGGCCCUUUCAUAUUGUCCCAAUGAAUACAACAAUUUGGAAAAUGUU
This is a non-coding RNA of Salvelinus sp. IW2-2015, 1291 nucleotides long. The record is from RefSeq and is a predicted model, not a curated record. NCBI's taxonomy places the organism in Eukaryota, Metazoa, Chordata, Actinopteri, Salmoniformes, Salmonidae.